Molecule: ribosomal RNA, 484 nt
Filed under: uncultured bacterium
Lineage: Bacteria
Description: partial 16S ribosomal RNA
Rfam family: Bacterial small subunit ribosomal RNA
Source: RNAcentral
AUUGAACGCUGGCGGCAGGCCUAACACAUGCAAGUCGAGCGGAUGAAGGGAGCUUGCUCCUGGAUUCAGCGGCGGACGGGUGAGUAAUGCCUAGGAAUCUGCCUGGUAGUGGGGGAUAACGUCCGGAAACGGGCGCUAAUACCGCAAACGUCCUGAGGGAGAAAGUGGGGGAUCUUCGGACCUCACGCUAUCAGAUGAGCCUAGGUCGGAUUAGCUAGUUGGUGGGGUAAAGGCCUACCAAGGCGACGAUCCGUAACUGGUCUGAGAGGAUGAUCAGUCACACUGGAACUGAGACACGGUCCAGACUCCUACGGGAGGCAGCAGUGGGGAAUAUUGGACAAUGGGCGAAAGCCUGAUCCAGCCAUGCCGCGUGUGUGAAGAAGGUCUUCGGAUUGUAAAGCACGUUAAGUUGGGAGGAAGGGCAGUAAGUUAAUACCUUGCUGUUUUGACGGUACCAACAGAAUAAGCACCGGCUAACUUCGUG